UACGUAGGGUGCGAGCGUUAAUCGGAAUUACUGGGCGUAAAGCGUGCGCAGGCGGUCUGUUAAGACCGAUGUGAAAUCCCCGGGCUUAACCCUGGGAACUGCAUUGGUGACUGGCAGGCUUUGAGUGUGGCAGAGGGGGGGUAGAAUUCCACGUGUAGCAGUGAAAUGCGUAGAGAUGUGGAGGAAUACCGAUGGCGAAGGCAAUCCCCUGGGCCUGCACUGACGCUCAUGCACGAAAGCGUGGGGAGCAAACAG
This 255-nucleotide ribosomal RNA is filed under the name uncultured bacterium. Its description in RNAcentral is "partial 16S ribosomal RNA". It matches the Rfam family "Bacterial small subunit ribosomal RNA", at positions 524 to 775 of the family's 1533-position model. The record is from RNAcentral.